UGGGGAAUAUUGCACAAUGGGCGCAAGCCUGAUGCAGCCAUGCCGCGUGUAUGAAGAAGGCCUUCGGGUUGUAAAGUACUUUCAGCGGGGAGGAAGGCGAUAAGGUUAAUAACCUUGUCGAUUGACGUUACCCGCAGAAGAAGCACCGGCUAACUCCGUGCCAGCAGCCGCGGUAAUACGGAGGGUGCAAGCGUUAAUCGGAAUUACUGGGCGUAAAGCGCACGCAGGCGGUCUGUCAAGUCGGAUGUGAAAUCCCCGGGCUCAACCUGGGAACUGCAUUCGAAACUGGCAGGCUAGAGUCUUGUAGAGGGGUGUAGAAUUCCAGGUGUAGCGGUGAAAUGCGUAGAGAUCUGGAGGAAUACCGGUGGCGAAGGCGGCCCCCUGGACAAAGACUGACGCUCAGGUGCGAAAGCGUGGGGAGCAAACA
Molecule: ribosomal RNA, 427 nt
Filed under: uncultured bacterium
Lineage: Bacteria
Description: partial 16S ribosomal RNA
Rfam family: Bacterial small subunit ribosomal RNA
Source: RNAcentral